This 414-nucleotide RNase P RNA is filed under the name Tsuneonella flava. RNAcentral's name for it is "RNase P RNA component class A". It matches the Rfam family "Bacterial RNase P class A". From Rfam's summary of the family: Ribonuclease P (RNase P) is a ubiquitous endoribonuclease, found in archaea, bacteria and eukarya as well as chloroplasts and mitochondria. The record is from RNAcentral. Lineage: Bacteria; Pseudomonadati; Pseudomonadota; Alphaproteobacteria; Sphingomonadales; Erythrobacteraceae.
UCAGGGGGCCGGGCAGCCGCGUGCGGGGUAACCCGUGUCGAGGAAAGUCCGGGCUCCACGAAGCAAGGGUGGCGGGUAACGCCCGCCCGGCGCAAGCCGAGGGAAAGUGCCACAGAGAGUAUACCGCCGAUGGAGGGAAACCUCACAGGCAAGGGUGAAAGGGUGCGGUAAAGGCGCACCGGGGCGCUGGCGACAGGGCCCGCAUGGCAAACCCCACCCGGAGCAAGGCCGAAUAGGGGCGGCGCGCCUUCGCGAAAGCGGGGCAGGUCUGUUUCGGACCCGACCGCCCGGGUUGGUUGCUUGAGCGCACGGAGCAAUCCGUCGCCCAGAUGAAUGGCUGCCACUGCCGAUACGGUCCGGCAUGUUCGGAUACCGUCGGCGGUACAGAACCCGGCUUACAGGCCCCCUGACACC